AGCCUGUCUCCUUCUAUAGUUCGUCUGUAAGGCUUCAUUCAGAAAUGAAAGGGCCGCCUUUUCUGGGCGUAACCCCUGAUUAACUGAAAGGUAUUCCAGAGCGUCUCUUUCCUUGUAUAUCUUCGUAACCCAUCAUCUGGUCUUCGAUGGCUCAAAGCGGGGUCUUGUGACCAUGCCUUCCCGCUCCUUUUUCUGGUCGUUUUGGCCCCCUUGAAGGCAUAGUCUUUCACCCGGGCGCAACCCUUCUUCUUUCCGAACUAAAAGGGGAGCGUUGGUUUGCUGUGUGGGUGGUAG
This 294-nucleotide unclassified non-coding RNA is filed under the name Hevea brasiliensis (rubber tree). Lineage: Eukaryota; Viridiplantae; Streptophyta; Magnoliopsida; Malpighiales; Euphorbiaceae. The record is from RNAcentral.